UUAAUGGCAAUUAAUAAUUGUUGUAUUGUUUAAGGAAAAAUUGAUUCUAACAUUAAAUAUAAAUUCAUCAUGCGAAAAUAGGGCACAUUACUGGGCUGUGAUUUACAACUUAGUCUAGGAUGUAUAUCACGGACAGUAUUUUUGUAUUGAUUGAAGUUUUUGGUUGGAUUUACAAUAACAACUUGGCAAUCCGAGUCUGAUAGUUACACAUUGAAAUCAAUCUUAAUAGAAUAUGUACUUCUGUAUACAUAUUUAAUCAGCGUCGCUAGCCGAGAUUUAAUUUAAUUCUUUUUACAACAAAUAUAGAGUGGAAGAAUACGCAUUCAUUUCAGACGCUCUUUAAACUUUCGAAAAGCUAGAUUUUCAAUUGAAAGCGGCUUUCAUCUCAAGUUGAAACUAGGCAUCUAUGAGCCUGUUAACUUUAUUUUAAAAAAUUUAAUUGCUAAUGAGAAAGCUAAUUUUGCAAUCUAGUCUGUGCCGUAGCACGACUUAAUACAACCUAGUUGUCAUUUUCAGGCUUUUCUAUGCUUUCUAGCUUUUCAGCAUUAAUGCUGCGUUCACUUUUUUGGAAGCCAAAUUGUGUGAAAAACAUCCCUAAAAGAAAGGAAGCAAAGGCAAUUUUCCAUUUGUUGGUGUUAGAAGAUGUACUACCAUGAUUAGCAUAUUUUCCUUCUUGCGUCGCUUUUCAUCUGUGAAUGUUUAUUUACACUCAUUAUUUUCGUCGUAACUUACACCAUGAAAAGACCGCAAGCUGUCAACAUCGCAGCUUGGUGAUUAAUCCCAUGCAAGACAAUUAAUUCUCCAUUUUUUUGGGAAUCGUCUUCAUUAAUCCCUUCAGAUUGCAGUGGCUUCCUUGGAACGACCUUUUCCUUCUCUUCUACGGUUUUGCAGUCUUCUUUAAUGUCCUUUGGUAAUUCUUUUUCUUCAUUGGGCUUCAAUUCGGACUUGCUAAGUUCAAUAACACAUUUAUCAGCAUAGGUAAGCCAUUCAUAUGGCGUUCUCGAUAUUCCCCUUUUCCUAUACGGCUUUUUAAAAAAUGGCAUUGUAAGAAUAGUACAUACACAACAAAAAAACCAUUUGGUUAAUGUAGGAUUCUGUGCUAUGUAAACAAACAAGUUCAUCGGAGAUAAUUAUGCAACUUCCAUGUAAUUCAAAACACUAGCAAAUAUACAAAUAGAGGUAUUUACUCAUUUCGCUUUUUUUCCAAAGAAGUACAUUUAUCAUCUGAGCUAGUGUUGCCAAUACAGCGCUAUCAUAUUCAGAAUUUAUAAAUCCAUUGACACAAAAAUUUUCAAUAUAUUUUAAAUUGAGCAUAUUAAUUUAAGAAAUCAAUCUCGGUAAUGCAUAUAUAUAUAAUAAUAUACAGAUUCUAUGAACACCCCA
Schizosaccharomyces pombe (fission yeast) is the source of this 1383-nucleotide non-coding RNA. Lineage: Eukaryota; Fungi; Ascomycota; Schizosaccharomycetes; Schizosaccharomycetales; Schizosaccharomycetaceae. The record is from the annotation of a GenBank genome assembly.